This 377-nucleotide ribosomal RNA is filed under the name uncultured bacterium. Its description in RNAcentral is "bacterial SSU rRNA". It matches the Rfam family "Bacterial small subunit ribosomal RNA", at positions 28 to 407 of the family's 1533-position model. The record is from RNAcentral.
GACGAACGCUGGCGGCGUGCUUAACACAUGCAAGUCGAGCGGUAAGGCCCUUUCGGGGGUACACGGGCGGCGAACGGGUGAGUAACACGUGGGUGACCUGCCCUUAGCUCUGGGAUAAGCCUGGGAAACUGGGUCUAAUACCGGAUAUGACUCCAUAACGCAUGUUGUGGGGUGGAAAGCCUUGUGCGGCUAGGGAUGGGCCCGCGGCCUAUCAGCUUGUUGGUGGGGUGAUGGCCACCAAGGCGACGACGGGUAGCCGGCCUGAGAGGGCGACCGGCCACACUGGGACUGAGACACGGCCCAGACUCCUACGGGAGGCAGCAGUGGGGAAUCUUGCGCAAUGGGCGAAAGCCUGACGCAGCGACGCCGCGUGGGGA